GGGUUGGAGAUGGUCUAAAGCUAAGCGGUGUCUAUACCGGAUUACUAACCUUGGUUUUAAAUCAACAGCCGGAAAUGCGCAAAGACAGGGGUAGUAUUGUAGUUUACUUAUAAAACUGUCAGCGUCUGAUCUUUGUUUUGAUUGCCCGCGACUACUCUUUAACUUCUUCCACGAUUCAGAUUCGAGUUUCGGAGAAGCUCUCUAUCUAUCUAUAUGUCCUCCUUAUCGUCACAGAAUAGAGAUCCUUCACUACUUUGUCUUCUUCGUUCCCGGUCGCGAUCAACUCGUUUGCGAUCUUCAGAUUAUGUAGGGAUUCGAACCAGCUCUAUGGAUCAGGCGGAACUGUCUACGGAGCAGGUAUUGCAAAGGGACAUUCCAUGGGAGACUUACAUGACAACUAAGCUGAUUUCAGCUACAGAUCUCCAGCUCCUAAGGCGCUACGAUAAAAAAACUGAGAGUGCAAGGGCACAGUUGCUGGAUGAAGUAAA
This is a long non-coding RNA of Brassica napus (rape), 488 nucleotides long. RefSeq lists it as uncharacterized. The transcript is spliced from 3 exons. NCBI's taxonomy places the organism in Eukaryota, Viridiplantae, Streptophyta, Magnoliopsida, Brassicales, Brassicaceae. The record is from RefSeq and is a predicted model, not a curated record.